RNAcentral lists this ribosomal RNA (421 nucleotides) under Shelfordia sp. RNAcentral's name for it is "partial 16S ribosomal RNA". Lineage: Eukaryota; Metazoa; Arthropoda; Insecta; Hymenoptera; Braconidae. The record is from RNAcentral.
GUCUUUAAGAAUAUUAAUUUAAAGUCAAAUCUGCCCACUGAAUAAAUUUAAAUGGCUGCAGAAUUUUUUACUGUACAAAGGUAGCAUAAUAAUUUGUUUUUUAAUUAAAAACUUGAAUGAAAGAUUUAAUGAAAUAUAAACUGUUUCAGUUAAAUUUAAUUUUGAAUUUUUUAUUUAGGUAAAAAAACCUAAAUAAUAUUUAAAGACGACAAGACCCUGUAGAAUUUUAUUUAUAUAAAAUUAUUUUUAUAAUAAUUUUAUAGAAAUUUUAUUGGGGUAAUAAAAAAAUUUAUUUAAUUUUUUUUUAAUAUUACAUUUUAUAAAUGAAUAAUUUAUCUUAAUUUUUAAAUUAAAAAAAUUAAUUACCUCAGGGAUAACAGCAUAAUUUUUUUUGAAAGAUCUUAUUAAUAAAAAAGAUUAU